UUUAAUCUCAAGCCUUUAUUAUUUAUUGCUGUGUGAUUUCACAGCUUCCCCUGAUGUCAGAACGCAAGCCCAGAUGAUGCCUGUGUGAUGGGGCUUCCCUAGAAACGAAGGGAUUUAUUUUAAUUGAUUGCCUUUUAAUCAGAAAGUUGUGUGAGGCAUGAAGCCCUGUCCUUGGGCAUCUCCUGUUUCUUGAAAUGAAUGUUCAGGGUGACCCUGGCUCAAGAAAUUGCAAACCGUGGCCACUAAAAGGCCAGAGAGCGCCCUUCAGUGGGGAUUCCCCAAUUCCACGUGUAACUCGACCCAAACUCUGCAGCAUCUGCAGGUCAGACAUGGCCCCACGCAAUCCAGGACCCUCACAGCUCAGCUCCCCCGUGUCCACUGGAAUGACCCCCCUCAGUCCAUCAGCUUGGACGAC
This 415-nucleotide long non-coding RNA is filed under the name Homo sapiens (human). Its description in RNAcentral is "non-protein coding lnc-PFKP-4:1". Lineage: Eukaryota; Metazoa; Chordata; Mammalia; Primates; Hominidae. The record is from RNAcentral.